UGCUCAUCUCCCUCCCCAUUCCCGUGUGCUGCUUUCUCCAUUCCCCCACCUUUCCAACCUUCUCCUAUGUCAAUCUCGUCGGCGACGAGCCAGGCGUCGCAGGACAUGGGCCAGCGGCUAGAGGGGUGCACGCAUGAGGGCGUAGAAAUCCCAGCUCGCCGCCUCCAGCACCACCUAGUGACCACCGCUGCGCCAUGUCGUGACCUAGAUCGGGAGAUCUCGAUUCUGCCCCUGUGGACCGUCGCACGAUGGUGGAGACAUCGGGCGGCUGGAGGCUCCACCUCACGGCUAGCUGAGGACCGCGGCCGCUUCCUCGCGGCAACAAGACCCUGCUCGUCGUCGUGUGAGUCGCCGGAUUCGCGCUGGUAUUCCUGUGGUCCAGCGCCUCCAUGUUCGUCGGGGCCUAGGGCGGGAUCCCCAGCCUCCUCUCGUUGCCGCCGUCGCCGUCGCGCCUGGUUCCGCCCUGCGCCUGGAUUCCUACAACCUGAAGGAUUUCGGCGACGGCGGCGGGAACGGGCGGUCGGUGAACUCCCAAGCGUUCGAGCGCGUUGUCGAGGCCAUGGCGGGCUAGGGCAGGGGCAGUCUUGCCGCUCAGAUGGUGGCUCACGGGGCCGUUCAACUUGACCAGCCACGUGAUGAUGUUCCUCGCCGAAGGAACGGAGAUUCUCGCAUCGCGUUGACACUGGUGGCUCAAGAACGGCAGCCGGACCUGGAGGAGAUGGUCCCUGGUGGAGCAUCUGCUUUUACCAGAUCAAGCGCGGCAUCCUGUACCUAGAAGCGGUGUAUCCCACAUAGUGCAACCGGUAUCAUCUCGCUCACAGUGGUGGAGGAGGACAUGGCGCCUAGCUCGAGCCGGUGGCAGUGAGCACGACGCAUAGCUUGAGCCGAUCACGGUGCCUCUGACGCCCAAUGUAAGUUGCUUAUUCAUUUUAACUAACUUACUGAUUGCUACUUUGUUAAGUUGCUUUCUAGUAAUGUUUAAGUUGACUAAACAUUGAUGCUAAGUUCCUUUCUGGUGAAGUUGUUGUAACAUCGAUGCUAAGUUGCUUUCUAGGUAAACUGGACAUAUUAGGUUUGACAUGCAUAUAGUGUGAUAUUGAGAUAAACUGGACAUAUUGGGACUAGGUUGCCUACUUUCAAUGUCAAGUUGGCUACAAGUUGCUCCAUAGUUACUGUUAAGUUGCUGAUCGUGUGAGAAAUUGUAGUUGUUUUGUGUGAAAAUGGAUGCACUACAACAUGCCUACAGGUUCCUUAGAAUUUUUCCUAUCUUUGAUGUCGAGCUGUCUACUAGUUGUUGGUAAGUUGCGUGAUGGUUACCGUUAAGUUGCUGAUCAAGUGAGUUGCUUGAGUCUGAUGCCCAUUUCAAACUAUUUGGUGGGAUUUAUACGUAAUCAUGUUUGGAUUAAGUUUGCUUUUGUCCGAAGAGUAAUUAGCUACAUGCAAAUACAACUUAGGGGUUGGAAAAGGCAACUAAUCAUACAUGCACAUAAAAAUGUGGAAUUUAUUGGUACAUGUAAAUACAACUUAAGGGUGGGAAAAGGCAAUUAGUCAUACAUGCACAUCCAACUUAUGGAAAUACUGGUACAUGCAACUAAGGGUAUAUGCAAAUAGAACUUAGUCGUGUAAAGAGGUAACUAAUCAUACAUGCUCAUCUAGGGAUUUAUUGAGAAAACAACUUUUACUGCUGAACUUGAGCAGCUUAACUACUGAAUUUCAGCAGUUUUAACUAUUGAACUUGACUAGUUUUUUUCAUAUUGUUUUGGCAAGUAGCGAAAAAAAUGAAGCAUCGAUUUUGAAGCACAUCAAAAUGGAAUCUCAUGUCUGCAUAUUAGGUUACUAGAUGCCAUUUGUUAGCUUAUCUUUUUCUUGUGAAACUGACAUUAAAAUUGUCUACUAUUAUUGAUCCCACCGUAGUUUUGUCACUUCUACUCUUCAUGUUCAAAGAUUUCAGAAAAACUGCUAACCAAUUGCUUUCUUGGUAAUUUUUAAGUUGCUGAAACAUUUAUGUUAAGUUUCCUUCUUGGUAAUGCCUAAGUUGUGUCAACUGAUCCUGAAAUUGCUGACAUGUAUAGGGGCGACAAAACCAAGAUUUUCUUUAACUUUUAUGUGUCUUUGGUCUUCUGAACAAGGGACUGAAGUAAGUAUUUCCCUAUCAUGUUCAAGGUGCUUACCUAUUUUGAUUAAGUUGUAGUCUCCUUUCACUAAGUAGCUGCAUCAAUGAAUGUGGGAGUUGCUUUGCCAAUAUAGUUAAGUUGCAUCUACCACUUAAUUAAGUUUGAUUAGACAUCUUAGGUUGUUCUUCCCUAGAUUUUUUUAAUGGACUUUGAUUUCUGAAUUAAGUUGUCCCGCAAACAUAGUUAAGUUACUUGCGCCAUUUAAUUAAGUUGAUUAGAGAUCUUAGUCUAAGUUUUUUUAGUUUACUUUCUUAAUAUUUUUGAAGUAUCUUUUUCUUUAUAGAACUGUGACUGAAACAACUCAAGCAAGAAUCCCAACAACUAAAGAUAUUUCAGAGGCAACUCAUGUUUAAGUUGUUUUUUGCACAUCGAUGGAGUGGUAUUUAUUGAUUUAUUUCACUAGUCAAAUAUCCAGACAUUAAGUUGCUUAUCCGUUUAAGUUGAUCAGCCACCUUGAGAUAUGUUGUUUAUUACACAUCAUGGGCUUAGGUGUUGUUGUUCUUGUCUGACUAGAGAAUCAUAACUCCUACAUUGCUUCUGAUUACAAUACUUUGUUGCUUUCACAUGUGUCCCUAAGUUGUUUAUAAAUACUUUGUUGCCUCACACAUGUUCUAAGUUGCUUAUAUAUACAUUACUUUGUUGUCUCAUACACGUUCUAAGUGGCUUACAAAUAAUAUCCGAUGAUUAUACAUAAUGUUGUCUCGCAAAUUAUACUUUUUUGCUAAGUUGUCGAUUACUAUAAUACUUUGUUGCCUCAUACAUCCACUAAGUAGGUUACACAUAAUGUUGAUCAUCUUUGGUUUUGAAAUCAUUGCCUCACAUAGAUAAUUAUUUUCUGACAACAUAGUUAAGCUGCUUCUCCAUGCUACACUUGCCACUUUUAAAACUAAGUUGCUUUCCAAUAGAUAUAGUAUUGAGGUUUCAUGAAAACUGAUCAUAGUUUUGAUAUUCUAUUUGGAACUUGUAUUUACUUGCAGAUUAGUCACAUCAAUUUUUUUGGUACUAUAUGCUUUCUUAACUUUUUAUUUCCUUGUAGAUCAGUGGCCAUUGAAAAAAAAUGAAGCAUCAGUUUGUGGAAGUACUUGCAAGUGGAACCAUGUUUGUGCAUAGAUGCUAAGUACUCCAUCCUAUCGCAUUUAAUCGACGCGGAGCUUGCCUAUGUAUCUUAUUGUGCCGGCGUCGAUUAAUACCGAACGGAGGUAUUAGAUGUAGAUGUUGAGUUUCCAGCUGGUAUGUACAUUCAAAUUGACAAACCUGGUAUAUGUGAAGUUGUAUCUAUGAUACAACGAUGUUGUCACAGGUUUUGGGCAGGUUUUAUGUCAUCUUCUACAAGUUUUGUUUCCCACAAAAACAUUGAUUUAAUGCAAAUGACUAUUAAGUUGCUUUGCUAUAUUGCUACUAAGUUUUCUGCCACAAACAAAUGUGUGGUUAUUUUGCAUCCUCGUGUUUGGGUCCAAUAAUUGUCUUCACAUCUGACACCUGAGCUGUAGAUAAAAGUUGCAGGUUCCUAUGGAGAUAUCAAUGGAGAGGAAGGAAAGAUGGUGUCUUGCAGAGGAAGAUGGAAAAGAGAGAAGAGGGAGAGGGGUGUCACGUGGUUGGUGUGCGGGUUUUGGCUCGUGAGAUCAGCCUGGGACAGCGCUAGCCAGGAGGAAACCCGGACGGGAAAACGCGUGUGUUUUGUUUUGGGUUGGUCCGUGUUGUUUCUAAUUGGGGGUAACUUUCCUAAUCGGGGCGAUGGCUGGUUCAGACUAACCAGCCACCGUUUGCUCCCUAGAUGUGUCCAAGAAGGAUAUGUGCAAGAAUUCCCGGUGAUUGAUUAUUUGACAUAUAUCAAUAGUCGUUUA
This is a long non-coding RNA of Lolium rigidum, 4018 nucleotides long. RefSeq lists it as uncharacterized. The record is from RefSeq and is a predicted model, not a curated record. The transcript is spliced from 2 exons. Lineage: Eukaryota; Viridiplantae; Streptophyta; Magnoliopsida; Poales; Poaceae.